Molecule: ribosomal RNA, 1372 nt
Filed under: uncultured bacterium
Lineage: Bacteria
Description: bacterial SSU rRNA
Rfam family: Bacterial small subunit ribosomal RNA
Source: RNAcentral
GAUGAACGCUGGCGACGUGCCUAAUACAUGCAAGUCGAGCGAACGGACGAGAAGCUUGCUUCUCUGAUGUUAGCGGCGGACGGGUGAGUAACACGUGGAUAACCUACCUAUAAGACUGGGAUAACUUCGGGAAACCGGAGCUAAUACCGGAUAAUAUUUUGAACCGCAUGGUUCAAAAGUGAAAGACGGUCUUGCUGUCACUUAUAGAUGGAUCCGCGCUGCAUUAGCUAGUUGGUAAGGUAACGGCUUACCAAGGCAACGAUGCAUAGCCGACCUGAGAGGGUGAUCGGCCACACUGGAACUGAGACACGGUCCAGACUCCUACGGGAGGCAGCAGUAGGGAAUCUUCCGCAAUGGGCGAAAGCCUGACGGAGCAACGCCGCGUGAGUGAUGAAGGUCUUCGGAUCGUAAAACUCUGUUAUUAGGGAAGAACAUAUGUGUAAGUAACUGUGCACAUCUUGACGGUACCUAAUCAGAAAGCCACGGCUAACUACGUGCCAGCAGCCGCGGUAAUACGUAGGUGGCAAGCGUUAUCCGGAAUUAUUGGGCGUAAAGCGCGCGUAGGCGGUUUUUUAAGUCUGAUGUGAAAGCCCACGGCUCAACCGUGGAGGGUCAUUGGAAACUGGAAAACUUGAGUGCAGAAGAGGAAAGUGGAAUUCCAUGUGUAGCGGUGAAAUGCGCAGAGAUAUGGAGGAACACCAGUGGCGAAGGCGACUUUCUGGUCUGUAACUGACGCUGAUGUGCGAAAGCGUGGGGAUCAAACAGGAUUAGAUACCCUGGUAGUCCACGCCGUAAACGAUGAGUGCUAAGUGUUAGGGGGUUUCCGCCCCUUAGUGCUGCAGCUAACGCAUUAAGCACUCCGCCUGGGGAGUACGACCGCAAGGUUGAAACUCAAAGGAAUUGACGGGGACCCGCACAAGCGGUGGAGCAUGUGGUUUAAUUCGAAGCAACGCGAAGAACCUUACCAAAUCUUGACAUCCUUUGACAACUCUAGAGAUAGAGCCUUCCCCUUCGGGGGACAAAGUGACAGGUGGUGCAUGGUUGUCGUCAGCUCGUGUCGUGAGAUGUUGGGUUAAGUCCUGCAACGAGCGCAACCCUUAAGCUUAGUUGCCAUCAUUAAGUUGGGCACUCUAAGUUGACUGCCGGUGACAAACCGGAGGAAGGUGGGGAUGACGUCAAAUCAUCAUGCCCCUUAUGAUUUGGGCUACACACGUGCUACAAUGGACAAUACAAAGGGCAGCGAAACCGCGAGGUCAAGCAAAUCCCAUAAAGUUGUUCUCAGUUCGGAUUGUAGUCUGCAACUCGACUACAUGAAGCUGGAAUCGCUAGUAAUCGUAGAUCAGCAUGCUACGGUGAAUACGUUCCCGGGUCU